GAUGAACGCUGGCGGCGUGCCUAAUACAUGCAAGUCGAGCGAACAGACGCGGCGCUUGCUCCUUUGUCGUUAGCGGCGGACGGGUGUGUAACACGUGGAUCACCUACUUAUCUGACUGGUAUCAUCUCGGGACUCCGGAGAUAACACCGGAUAAUCUAUUGAUCCGCAUGGUUCAUUAGAGAGAGACGGCUUUGCUGUCUCUUCUAGCUGGUUCCGCGCCGGAUUAGCUAGUUGGUACGGUAACGGCUUAUCAGGGCGACCAGGCGUAACCGACGUGACAGGGGGAUCGGCCACACUGGAACUGAGACACGGACCAGACUCCUACGGGAGGCAGCAGUAGGGAAUCUGCCGCAAUGGGCGAAAGCCUGACGGAGCGACGCGGCGUGAGUGAUGAAGGUCUUCGGAUCGUAAAACUCUGUUAUUAGGGAAAAACAAAUGUGUAAGUAACCAUGCACGUCUUGACGGUACCUAAUCAGAAAGCCACGGCUAACUACGUG
RNAcentral lists this ribosomal RNA (497 nucleotides) under uncultured bacterium. RNAcentral's name for it is "partial 16S ribosomal RNA". It matches the Rfam family "Bacterial small subunit ribosomal RNA", at positions 28 to 507 of the family's 1533-position model. The record is from RNAcentral.